Molecule: non-coding RNA, 8139 nt
Organism: Rattus norvegicus (Norway rat)
Lineage: Eukaryota; Metazoa; Chordata; Mammalia; Rodentia; Muridae
Source: RefSeq, a predicted model, not a curated record
AAGAACUGAUGAAUGGACUCAAAGGGAAGCUCAAGAACAAUUUCACUACAAUUUAAGAGACAGCCCCCUCCCCUGGGCGUGGGCAGAUGAGCUAUAAACCCCUGCAGUGGAUCUCUUCUCAUGCCCUCCAUAGGAGAUACCUGAUGACUGCAAUCAGGCAAUUAGAAAAGAGGCAAAACUCCUGCUGGUUAUAGGCGGCCAAGGGGCCACCCCUAGAAAGUCAGCUUCACUUUAAGCCAUGCCCUAAGAGAUGGGGGGUAGAUUAAAGGUUUGAAUUCCCCAGCCGCUAUUCCUUCCCUGUCAAGUCCAAAAGAAACAAAUGGCUAACAGUUGAGCUGAUUAGCAUACUGAAGUGUAUGCUGAAGUCCCAACUCUCUCAGCCACUCGACAGAGCCCAUGCUGGCAUCCUGGCUCUUCUCAGGAGCCUCCAGCUCCUGGGGUCUCCUCAGCUUCUCACUUCUAUAUAACCCUGCCUUUCUGCCAAGUGCUCGCUUGGGUCUUGGCUCUCUCUUGGUUCCCCCUCUCUUUCUUCCCUUUCUGUCAGAUCCCAAAGAAACCUUGGACAAGCCUCACUCAGUACCCGGGGCUUCUCCCUCCACCCCCUACCCUACCUCUCCAGCUUCUCUUUCCUAUAUAAACCUGUCAUUUUGGUCUUGCUUCCUCUUGGUUCUUGGCUCCUCUCUUGGUCCUCUGCUCUUGGUUCCUGGUCCCCUCUCUUCUCUCCUCCUUCUCUCUACCCCGAUGGCCCUGUUCCGUGAAUCUUAAAAGACACCUCUGGCUGUUUUCUCCCUCAUGUCUACAAUAAAACCCUUCUCCUCAACCACACCUAGGAUUGGUCACGUCCUCCUUCUCAUCUGCUGUCUUCCGUUCCUCUCUCCCUCUUUGCCUCUCCCUUUCCUCUUGUGACCCAGUCCAUUUUGCCAGUAAUGUUUAGUCUACCACUUUCUCGCUCUGCUCCGGACUCUUCCAGAUGCCUCUGGCUACACUCUCAUAUCUACAAUAAAAUUCUUACUCUCAAUCAUUCCUCGGAGCAGGCACGCCGUUACUUUAUACAGCAGCUCGCGAUUGCCUCAGAAUCAUCUCAACACCAGACACUGAGUGUGAGCUGUGUGAAGUCUGUGUGUCCGAGCUGUCUGUCCAGUGAGGCGUGUGGGUGCUGCUGAGUACAAGGCCGGAUACAUAAUCAAUGCUUCUUAAGACACAGAUAAAGAACCAAGGACCAGGCAUGAUAAAUGUGCUGUUGGGAGGAGAAGUUCAAUGCAGAUCACAGGGGAAGCUGUAAUUAGAAAGCAUAGGCAUUCGGGACUGCCUGCAGGUCAGAGGGGCUGGGCUAGUGGGCUUUGGCAGGGGAGCAGGAAAUGGGCACAGAGGUCCUGCAGUUCAGGGCUGGCAUAAUUGGACAGAGAUCAGCAGCCAGUCACCAUGGUAACAGCCAAUCCGAGGUGCCGUGCCUAUGGCGAGGAGUCAAGGUUUCUAAAGCAGGGACUAAAAAUGCUUCCUUUGUUCUCACUUGGAGUGAGCUGCUAUCAAAUCCAUGCAGGGCUGAUGCGAUGCUUCAGGGACACAGCCAGCAACUGCUGGCCACUGUGACCGGGAGGAAGCCACGUGAAGGUCCAGGAAACCAGCUGGAGUUGGAGAUGGAGAAGUUAAAUAUGUUUCAUGGAACUCUUUGUGCCUCCCUGCAGGGUGGUGGCCACUGCGUAGGUUUAGAGUAUGAGCAGGGCUCUCAUCACAGUUGGGCCUAUUAGCAGGCUGUGACCUGGGAGCAAUCCUACCUCAGUUUCCUUUCAAAGAAUAAUAUGGUUUGUUUGUUUGUUUGUUUUUGUGAGGCAGGAUUUCUCUGUGUAGUCCUGGCUGUCCUGUAGCUUGCUAUAUAAAUCAGGCUGACCUCCAACUCACAGAGAUCCUCCUGCCUCUUCUCCAGUGCUCAGAUUGAGAGCAAGCACCAUCCUGCUAGAAGAACGCAGUCUAAUGUUUGUUCUGCAGGGAGGCCUGUCUCACAUCUACCUAGGGAGUGCAAACCCUAUUGUCAUGAUGGUGACCAAAGGGCUUUGGGUAAGUAAAAGCCAUAUUUGAUUCUUUAGCAGGGAUAAUCAAAAGGCUCCCUGUGAGACCUAAAAGUUGAAGGGAGAGUAGUUAGAUCAACAACGUGAUAUUAGAAAGGAAAUAUUCUCAAGGCAGUCAAGAGAGCUGGGAGCCAUGAGAGACCCCAAAGCCUUUGUUCUUCUGCCCAAGUCAUAGUCCUAAACAGGAUGCCUUUGAGUUUGCUCAUCCUCUUUCCUGCCAGAGCAGGAGAAGGGAAACAGGGGAAGAACCUGAAGUAGGUGUUUCUAGGGAGUUUCACAGGAAGAUGUGAGAGGAAGAUGGAGGGAUGGGAGAGGCCACUUUGCUUGCAACCUGGACAGGCCAGAAGCAGGUUGAGCAAGGACACAGCUGUGGGCUGCCCACAUCUUCCUCCCCAGCCAGAAGUAUCAAGAGAUACAAACAUCCCUAUUUGGACUCUGGAGCAGUCAUCUGUUGCUAUGGCAACUGGGUGGGCUCUCCGGUGGGUGGAAGAAAGCGCAGCUGAUGGAGAUCAGCACUCAGGGCUGUAGCUCUACCCUUUCAUGGAUGUAGUGUUUAUGACAGGGCGAGAGCAAAGCAGGACCUUUUUGCCAUCAUCCGGCCUUCACUCCAGUCUCAGAUCUGGCCUGGCUCACAACAAGGAGCCAGGUGCAGAGGGGUAGCUCCUUGGGGACCCGUACCUUGGGCAUAUUUCCUUAGAUCACAUGUUCACCUAAGGGAUUUGUGAUGUUUUGUCUAUGCUUGGCCCAGGGAGUGGCACUAUUUGGAGGUGUGGCCUUGUUGGAGUAGGUGUGUCACUGUGGGCGUGGGCUUUAAGGCCCUACUCCUGGAAGGGAAUAUUCUGCUAACAGUCUUCAGAUGAAGAUGUAGAACUCUCAGCUCCUCCUGUACUAUGCCUGCCUGGAUGCUGCCAUGCUCCUGCCUUGAUGAUACUGGAUGAACCUCUGAACCUACCCAAGGGUAGCGCCCCUUCGGGACCCUGAAUAACUGGGUCCCCGCUGGCGGGGACAAGUGGCGCCUGAACAGGGACCCCGAAGUACGGCCAACUACCGGACGACGGAGACAGGAGAUCCAUGGAGAGAUUGAGGACUCUUCAGGCUGCAUCGCUCCUGCAUCGCUGGAGAGGGAGGUAAGACCGGUCGAGUAAGUGUCGUCCCAUCGCCGUGGGGAAGGUAUUGUCUAAGGAGGCUUGAUUCAUAGGAGAGAUCAAGCGCUCAUUCAGGGAGAGAGGAAAGAGUUAAGAAAAAGGAUUUAAUCAAUUUUUUUUGUUUUGUUGAUGAAAAGUGUCCUUGAGGUAAGAUGGGCUAGAAAAGGCCUUGAUGAUUUGGGCUAGCGUAAGUAAAACUUGUAAUAAAAAAGGGACAAGGUAAUGGUAAAGUAUUUUUGUGUAUGCGUUCUUUUAGAGUUAUGUUUUAGUCUUUGGACCCUGACUAGAGAUAGUUUACACCCUAGACAUGAGAGAGAAUGGGUUUGGGAAAAACAGUCCUCCCGGACUCUCCGCAGAUGCUUUGGAGAAAGAGAAAAACCUUUUCAGAGCUCUCUUAGGAACAGAGGGAAAGCAGACGUCCUGCCUCUCUGCUGGUUCCUAUUGGAGAAAUGCUUAUUUCUGGUUCUGGGUUCCAUAGGUAGGAUAUGUGGGACACCAUCUAGUUUUUUCCCUCUAUGCCUAUUGUCUGUCCUUGGUGCACCAAGCCGUCCAUGUCUGUCAGUUUAUGUCUGUGGUUUUUGCUUCUCGUUGCUUGAAUGUUUUGUGUUUCAUGUUUAAAAGAAAAGGUUAAAAUUUUAAAUGCUGGUUGAUUCACCCAUUGAUGUAGUUUUAACUCCUUUCAAGAAAGGUACAAAUAAAAAGUUUCAAUUGGCUUUUGGAGCCUGCAUCUGUAGCUAGAAGCCUAAGUCCACUGGGCAAGCUCCCCAGGGGGCUGGCUAAAUGUUUACACUAGCCGAUCCUAAAGGCACUAGGAGCUUCACAGCUUCUAUGGUAAUGAAUCUGAUAGCUGUUUCUCUUAGAAAAAUCCCUGACUUAUUAUUUGACUUAGCAGGUGACAAGGUGCUUCUCUUAAUAUUACAGCUAGAAAAAGUAAAAAUGGUGCUUGGUCUAAAUAUUAAAGAUAUGUAUAGCCACUUCAAUUUUGUUUCUGAUUGGUUUUAAAUGUAUAAAUAUGCUCUACACGCUUUGGUUAUGUACUAUUGGCUUUUAAGUUAUUAGAUAUGGUUAAAAAGGUGUAACAUUGGUAACAGAAAGUUGGCUUAAAAUUGUAAUUUAGAUGAAGUCAUUCUAGAUAACAUGUGACAUGGGCCUGGUUGCCUUGUCACUGUUUGGCCUUAGCCUUAGAUUAUAGGAUCAAAAGCCUCUCCCUGUAAUUUACUGCACAAGAAGUUUACAUUCAUGGAAUGUUUUCAGCCGCAACAAGACCCUUCUGGGUCUCCAACAAGGUUUGACCCCUGCUGAGCCCUGCCCUUGCAUGUGGAAGCUUUUUGUUCCCAACUGGCAGUCUGGCCAGGUACUUCUCACCUGAGUCAGAAUUAGGCUGGCCUUCCUGGUUAUUUCCCUAAUUUAUUCAGGCCACAUAGUCUGUCCUUUGUUACCGAAGUCUCAGCCAGGGUUCCCCACUGUGCUUUGCAGAUACCUGCUAAGUGCUGUACUUUAGAUAUAUAGUUUGGUCCAUAAAGAAACCAGAGGCCUUUUCCUCUUCUGGCUUGACACAAAAAAAAAAAAAAAAAAAAAGAAAAAAAAUCAAACAGGUAGAGAUUGUUACAAGACUUACGAAAGAUUGAUGAGGUUUUAGAACUUGUGAGAGCAUUACAGCCAGUUUGCUUACUCCAACUGCCAUUUCAAGAUAGAUUUAGAGGACUGAUUUUAUACAAUUUGUUUACGUCCUGGCCAUUGUGAGUUUUCAUUUCGUGAGCUUGCUUAUAAUUUUAGAGAGCCCACAAAGUGAUAUCAUUAAAAAUUUUACAAGGGGCUGGGGAUUUAGCUCAGUGGUAGAGCGCUUACCUAGGAAGCGCAAGGCCCUGGGUUCGGUCCCCAGCUCCGAAAAAAAGAACCAAAAAAAAAAAAAUUUUACAAAAGAAUGGCUAAUAGCCUUAUAUUAUGUAAUUUUGUCGCUUCUUCAAUGUAAGAAGUUAGAACCUUAAAUCUUUCAGUGUAUAUGAAAAUUUUUACUACAAACCUUUGCUCUCAAAAUGAGCUUUAAUAUUUGGGGAGUAGCUGUUGCAGAAAAGAAUAUUUGAAGCUAAUUUUAAGCUUCUAAGGAUAUGUUAAUUGGCUAACUACCUCACCUUACCAGAGGACUUAAGCCUUCCUUUGUUAUCCUCAUUGGAGAUAAAGCUUCAGUUGUGUUAAUACAGAACUGUAGACUAGAGUCAUGGAAGUAUUUUAAAAAAGAAACCUGGUAAAACAUAUUUUAUUCCAAACAGCAAUUAAAUUGGUUAUUACAAAAUACUGAUAUUUGGCCUAUCACAUAUACAAAUCUCAGGCAAAAUUGAUAAUUUUACUCUUUGCAUGCUUUUGUAUUUCCUAUAAAUUUGUGCAUACAACCCAUAGAAAAUGAGCUUACUAUAUUUAUAGGUGGUUCAUCUAAUGAAAAGGCUACAUGUAUGAUUGGAUCACUUGUUUAUUCUCUUCAGUUUCCCCUGCUUUAGCACAGAUUAUUAAAUUACGUGCUGUAGCCACUGUUUUAAAAAAAAAAAUCAAGCUUUUAAGUCAUAUACUGAUAGCCAAUGUAUGGCUUAUGGUUUACAGUUGAUUAAAAAGUUUCCCUUUUUAGAUACUACUAGCCCUCAAAUUAUACAAUUACUUAAUGAUAUAUUAGAGACAGGUUUUCUACUUAAAAUCAAUGAGUGAUUUCAGUGUGAAUUGUCUGACAACUCAAUGUCCUUUCAGUGCUCUGGCUCAGACAACUAAACAAAACCAUAGACCCAGCUCUUUAAAAAUGGUAAUAGAGUUGAUAACACACCCUCUUGAAAAGAGGAAGACUCCAUUUGCUUACUUUCAACUCCCAGCCUCACCCUGCCAGCUCAGGGAUUUCUAGUGCGACUAAAUCUGGACAAUAUUUAUAGGAUUUGGCAUCUCUAAUUAAUGCUUAUGUUUAGGUAAAUAAAGCUGGUGAGGGGCUGGAGAGAUGGCUCAGUGGUUAAGAGCAUUAAGUACUAUUCCUUUAUAGGCCAUUUAAGAACUCAAACUGGAUUGCCUAGACCCCUUAACAAGGGAGGACAAUGAUACCAGGCAGAUUAUAGGCCUUACAUAGGAAUAAUUAGUCAAAAAAUCUCAUUCUUUAUAUCACCAAAACAAUAAUGCUGGAGAUAAUAAUUUGGUAUAAAAGUAAAUUUAUAAAUACAAGUGCUCAGUGUCCUCAAUUUAAUCCUCAAGGACUUAUCUUAAUAAAUAAUAUUUUAACAAUAUUUUAGUAAAUAAAAAGGGGAGUUAUCCCUGUAUGCUAAAAUAUGCUCCUUUUAUUUCAAUUUUAAAAUUUGGAUGCCAAGGAACACUCUGAGUUUAUGGCACCCUACAGCUAGGCAUACUUCUGCCUAGGUGAAAUAGAAAGAUCCACAUAUUGGCAUGAUCCUGUUCAGAUAUUUUAUAUGGGGAAGAGGGAAUCUUUGUGUUUUUUCUAUAGGAGGCUACAGGAGUGUGCCAGCUGCCCGAGUGGCUGGUGAGCCAUGCUGAUCCUGGGAGCAUGAAGAUUCAGCUCUCCUGGUUCAGGUCCCUGGAGUCAUUCCUGUGUCCUUGGAGGAAUAUGGAGGAUUCCCACUCAUCUUUUGUCAUCACAGAAAUUCUGGCGUUGCUGCAGUCAUUGUGUCCCGUCCCACCACGGCCUGCGCUCUGACCCUCUGCACUGUUGCUUGGUGGAAGCUGCUGUGGACUGGGGAACUCUGCCCUGGUUUUGCAGAUCUCAGACAUGGUUCCAUUGCCUGCUGGUUGUUCCAGAGAAGAAUGACCGAUCCUGAACUGUCCUGGGAAAGACCUUGGCAUUUUCGCUGCUAUUGUAGCAGCCAUUACUGCUGCAGCCAUUGUGUCUGCAGUGUCUGGAGCUACCCUCCCCCAAUCUAUUGUUAGGCAAGCACAGUGGGUGAACUUUCUGGAGUAGUUGCUAACAAUUGGGAAUUCUAAAUUUUAUUACAGGAGAGGCUUGACUAGGUCCUUGGUGGUAUAGCCAUAGCAGCUGAGGAGAACCAGAUGAGGUGCCCACUACUUAUCAUCGGGAGAGGCUCAAUUUCCACAAUCUCUUAUAUUAAUGCCAUCUGGCUCCUACUCUUUCGCCCCUGGGCUCAAGUAAGAGGAAUGAGAAGAUGAUCCAAUGUAGCUUUCCUCAGUGACGGGCAACUUCCUCUGACCCUUGACCAAUCUAGACAUGGAGCCUUGAGGGCGACAAGGUGGUCCUAUGACAGAGAGGCUGGGGUUUGAGAGGUCGAUCCUAAGACAGAGGUGGCUACACCCCGUUUAAACGUGCGGGCCGGUCAAAUGCUCCUCUGCCCAGUUUCUCCCCCAAUAAACACACGUAUAGCCCAGAACGGUGUGUUACAGCAUAAGUUCAUUCCUAGCCAUUGGGGUGCAGUCCUAACUGCAAGAGUGGCUCACCAUGGCCGAGCUGGGCACUCUGUGAGGCAUGUCUGAUCUCUCUCAGACCACUACUUCCACCUAAUGGUCUUUUAUAAAAGAAAAAUGGGGGAGAUGCACGGAGCCGUAUUGGAUUUGGGCCUAGCCACUUUUUGACUGCAUGGCUCAAAGUGGCUAGGUGACUUUGGGCUAUUUGGCCACAGAUAUUCACCCCUAAGAUGACUGCCAUAAGUCUUAAGAUUGUUGAAUGAAAGCCUCUCCCAUGAAUUUACGGCACAGGAAGAUAACAUUCAAGGGAUGCCUCAGCUCCCUUAGCAGAUACCUGUUACCUCCUGAAUCAACACCCAGUGUCUCCACCGCCUGACCUCAUCGUCUACCUCCUGACCUCUUUGCCUCCAGCUAUCACUACCUGUAUCCGCACCUCCCCCUCUUCUGUGUUUCACAAAGGACACUCCCCCUACCUGAAAGCCUUAAAAGCUGUAACAUUCACCCCAAUAAACGAGACCUUGACAACAGAA